CAACCUCAACUCAUAUGGGACUACCCCCUGAAUUUAAGCAUAUUAAUUAGGGGAGGAAAAGAAACUAACAAGGAUUUUCUUAGUAGCGGCGAGCGAAAAGAAAACAGUUCAGCACUAAGUCACUUUGUCUAUAUGGCAAAUGUGAGAUGCAGUGUAUGGAGCGUCAAUAUUCUAGUAUGAGAAAUUAACGAUUUAAGUCCUUCUUAAAUGAGGCCAUUUACCCAUAGAGGGUGCCAGGCCCGUAUAACGUUAAUGAUUACUAGAUGAUGUUUCCAAAGAGUCGUGUUGCUUGAUAGUGCAGCACUAAGUGGGUGGUAAACUCCAUCUAAAACUAAAUAUAACCAUGAGACCGAUAGUAAACAAGUACCGUGAGGGAAAGUUGAAAAGAACUCUGAAUAGAGAGUUAAACAGUACGUGAAACUGCUUAGAGGUUAAGCCCGAUGAACCUGAAUAUCCGUUAUGGAAAAUUCAUCAUUAAAAUUGUAAUAUUUAAAUAAUAUUAUGAGAAUAGUGUGCAUUUUUUCCAUAUAAGGACAUUGUAAUCUAUUAGCAUAUACCAAAUUUAUCAUAAAAUAUAACUUAUAGUUUAUUCCAAUUAAAUUGCUUGCAUUUUAACACAGAAUAAAUGUUAUUAAUUUGAUAAAGUGCUGAUAGAUUUAUAUGAUUACAGUGCGUUAAUUUUUCGGAAUUAUAUAAUGGCAUAAUUAUCAUUGAUUUUUGUGUUUAUUAUAUGCACUUGUAUGAUUAACAAUGCGAAAGAUUCAGGAUACCUUCGGGACCCGUCUUGAAACACGGACCAAGGAGUCUAACAUAUGUGCAAGUUAUUGGGAUAUAAACCUAAUAGCGUAAUUAACUUGACUAAUAAUGGGAUUAGUUUUUUAGCUAUUUAUAGCUAAUUAACACAAUCCCGGGGCGUUCUAUAUAGUUAUGUAUAAUGUAUAUUUAUAUUAUUUAUGCCUCUAACUGGAACGUACCUUGAGCAUAUAUGCUGUGACCCGAAAGAUGGUGAACUAUACUUGAUCAGGUUGAAGUCAGGGGAAACCCUGAUGGAAGACCGAAACAGUUCUGACGUGCAAAUCGAUUGUCAGAAUUGAGUAUAGGGGCGAAAGACCAAUCGAACCAUCUAGUAGCUGGUUCCUUCCGAAGUUUCCCUCAGGAUAGCUGGUGCAUUUUAAUAUUAUAUAAAAUAAUCUUAUCUGGUAAAGCGAAUGAUUAGAGGCCUUAGGGUCGAAACGAUCUUAACCUAUUCUCAAACUUUAAAUGGGUAAGAACCUUAACUUUCUUGAUAUGAAGUUCAAGGUUAUGAUAUAAUGUGCCCAGUGGGCCACUUUUGGUAAGCAGAACUGGCGCUGUGGGAUGAACCAAACGUAAUGUUACGGUGCCCAAAUUAACAACUCAUGCAGAUACCAUGAAAGGCGUUGGUUGCUUAAAACAGCAGGACGGUGAUCAUGGAAGUCGAAAUCCGCUAAGGAGUGUGUAACAACUCACCUGCCGAAGCAACUAGCCCUUAAAAUGGAUGGCGCUUAAGUUGUAUACCUAUACAUUACCGCUAAAGUAGAUGAUUUAUAUUACUUGUGAUAUAAAUUUUGAAACUUUAGUGAGUAGGAAGGUACAAUGGUAUGCGUAGAAGUGUUUGGCGUAAGCCUGCAUGGAGCUGCCAUUGGUACAGAUCUUGGUGGUAGUAGCAAAUAAUCGAAUGAGACCUUGGAGGACUGAAGUGGAGAAGGGUUUCGUGUGAACAGUGGUUGAUCACGAGUUAGUCGGUCCUAAGUUCAAGGCGAAAGCCGAAAAUUUUCAAGUAAAACAAAAAUGCCUAACUAUAUAAACAAAGCGAAUUAUAAUACACUUGAAUAAUUUUGAACGAAAGGGAAUACGGUUCCAAUUCCGUAACCUGUUGAGUAUCCGUUUGUUAUUAAAUAUGGGCCUCGUGCUCAUCCUGGCAACAGGAACGACCAUAAAGAAGCCGUCGAGAGAUAUCG
RNAcentral lists this non-coding RNA (1979 nucleotides) under Dufourea novaeangliae. RNAcentral describes it as "Eukaryotic large subunit ribosomal RNA". It matches the Rfam family "Eukaryotic large subunit ribosomal RNA", at positions 1 to 1683 of the family's 3401-position model. Lineage: Eukaryota; Metazoa; Arthropoda; Insecta; Hymenoptera; Halictidae. The record is from Rfam by way of RNAcentral.